Molecule: non-coding RNA, 118 nt
Organism: Syntrophobacter sp. DG_60
Lineage: Bacteria; Pseudomonadati; Thermodesulfobacteriota; Syntrophobacteria; Syntrophobacterales; Syntrophobacteraceae
Source: Rfam
GAGGGUAGGCCCCUCGGAGCCGGUCUGCAGGGGCAGGCUCCAAACCACCUUAAGCUGCGCUGGUUAAAUGCCAGGGUAGUGAGCGUUAAGGAAAAGGCGUGGAAGGACCGCGUCAGGU